UACGUAGGGUGCAAGCGUUAAUCGGAAUUACUGGGCGUAAAGCGUGCGCAGGCGGCUUUGCAAGACAGAUGUGAAAUCCCUCGGCUUAACCGGGGAACUGCGUCCGAUACUGGUUGGCUUGAGUUUGGGAGAGGGAUGCGGAAUUCCAGGUGUAGCGGUGAAAUGCGUAGAUAUCUGGAGGAACACCGGUGGCGAAGGCGGCAUCCUGGACCAAUACUGACGCUGAGGAGCGAAAGCCAGGGGAGCAAACGGG
RNAcentral lists this ribosomal RNA (253 nucleotides) under uncultured bacterium. RNAcentral describes it as "partial 16S ribosomal RNA". It matches the Rfam family "Bacterial small subunit ribosomal RNA", at positions 524 to 776 of the family's 1533-position model. The record is from RNAcentral.